CCUCCCCUCCCCCCUCCCCCCCCCGCGGGACGAGACCGAGGCCCCCGAUGGGGGAGGGGCAGGGGUCACGGAGCCCCCGCCCCAUGCGGCCAGGGUGGGGGAGGAGCUGCGGGGCCUGGAGGAGGCGCUGCUGAGGCUGAAGGAGAUGGAGGAGAGCUUCUGGCAGCUCCAACAGAGCCUGGGCAAGCGCGGCCCCACUGCAACGGGAGACACGUGAGGG
Long non-coding RNA from Neopsephotus bourkii (Bourke's parrot), 220 nucleotides. RefSeq lists it as uncharacterized. The transcript has 3 exons. Lineage: Eukaryota; Metazoa; Chordata; Aves; Psittaciformes; Psittacidae. The record is from RefSeq and is a predicted model, not a curated record.